Macrobrachium nipponense is the source of this 2080-nucleotide long non-coding RNA. RefSeq lists it as uncharacterized. Lineage: Eukaryota; Metazoa; Arthropoda; Malacostraca; Decapoda; Palaemonidae. The transcript has 2 exons. The record is from RefSeq and is a predicted model, not a curated record.
GGGGGGGUGUUGUUCAUAGAGUAAAAAUAAAGCAUUAUUCUGGUAGAACUUUUCACCAGGAUUCCAAAUAUGUUUUCAGUUUUCUUCUAUUCAUUAUUAAGAAAAUCAAAGCUUUUUUGGAACAAAAUAUGAGAAGGUGCUAACCUGUUCCAAGUGUAUGAUAGGAUAUGUUUCAUGGUAAAUAUUUUAACUGUUUUCAUUGAACUGUUAUGAAGAAUUGUGAAUAUGAUGAUAAAUAUAUUAUUGCCUCAGAUAUUAUGGUAAAUAAUAUUAUCAAUUCAAAUGUCAUGGUAAAUCUAUUAUCAACUCAAACAAGAUGUUUAUGGCUGAAUAAGUUGAGAGAGAGAGAGAGAGAGAGAUACGUAAAGAGUAGUUCUUUUAAGGUCAGUGUGACUUGAGGCAUACUAAAAUUAUUAGAAUCUUAUAUAAUAAUUACAGCAGUCAGGCGUGUUAAUCAAUUUUAACACCGUUAAGGAUAAACUCUAAUGUGGUAAUGAUUACAUUUGAAUAUAUGGUAAUGAAGCCUCUGUGACGUGUUAUCAUGACAGUGACUGGAAAUGGUUACAUAUGGUAAUGACGUGAUAGUGAAUGUAUUUCAAUAAAGAACAUAUAGAUGAAUGCCAGGAAGGGCCUGAGAAUGUUACGCAGAGAUCCUAGCUAAGUCCUAGACUAGCUGGGAAUCUAGGUAGAAGAAAGUGUAGAAAAGAAAAUGAAAUAUGGGGAGAGAGAAAGAGAGAAAGCUGACUGAUAGUGUGAACUCCUCAUGGGGUGUUUAAUGAGCAAGAGUUCGUGCUAUCAUGAGGCCUUUUCUGUGGUGAUACUGAACCUUCACCUUUUAUAUCAGUUAUAAAACUGUCAUGUAUGAUUUACUAACAUAAUUGGAAGAAGAGUUUUGUGAAAGGAACUGAAAUGAAAAUGUAUCUAAAUGUAUUGAUAAAACUGUUCCAAAUUAUGACAAACUGUCAUUUGAGAGAUAUAGAUCGUCAAUAGGUCUUUUUAGAUGAUAUGCAUAUUUUUUGUGGUACAGAAAUGUACUGUAAUAUAUUUCUCUGCCCGUUGAUAAGAUAAUGGGUACAGUUUGCCAACCAGAUAUAUUCAUUUUUUAAAAAAUAUUAGAACGACACUUGAAGGUUAUGAUUUUUUUGUAUUUGGAAGAAUGAUACAAAAUACAUUGGCUGAAUAAGAUGAGGUUGUCACUUUAUUAGUUAUUGCAAUAUUACACAUGAUUAUGUAAUAUUUUGACUGAUGGCUGUGUUCACUGUUGCCUUUAAGAAACUUAAUUUUUGGGGGGUGAGGGGUGAGGGAGGGGGCGGUUAAUUCAAAGACGUGAUUCCUUCUCCUUAAUUUGUUAAGUCACAUUAGAAGCAAUAACUUCAAUGCAUUUAACUUUCCAUUGAAGCAAUACCUGCAAUAACUUCAUGGUAUUUGUUCACUGAUUUCAAACACUUCACUAACUUCAUUUUGUUGUUUCUUUGAGGGCAAUAAAUUCAGUAACUUCAUGUUGUUUUUCCAUUGAGGGCCAUAAUUUCAAUUACUUGAUAUAACUUUUUCAUUAACGGUAAUAACCUAAGUAACUUCAUGUUAAUAUUUCAUUGAAGGAAAUAACUUCAGUAAAUUGGUGUUAUUUUUCCACUGAAGGCAAUAACUUCAAUAAAUUGGUGUCAUUUUUACAUUGAAGGCAAUAACUUCAAUACUUUCAUGUUAUUUUUUAUUUUAGUCUUAAAUCAUUGUUACCGUGUAACAAAAAUAACUAUUUUUCUGAACUAAUUAUUGAUUAGCCUCCGUGAGGUUCUGUAAUUCAUACAGAUAUUGCGAUGCAUUCCCGGCAUCUAUAGGUCGUUUUUCUGUUUAUGGUUAUUAAUGAACACUCUCUCGCAUUUUCAUAUUGUCCGUUCAAUCUUCAUCGUUUUUCAACCUUUUCUUUCAUAUUGUAAUUGUCAUAUUGUCUAUUAACUCUCGCUAAUCUUUCCUCUUCAGUUAAUGAAACACUAACCUGUAUUUUUUUAAUCGUCCACCGAUAUUUUGUAACUUCUAAACAAAAGUGCAUUUAACCUACUGUAAUAAAAAGCAUUAUUGAUUU